Molecule: long non-coding RNA, 3057 nt
Organism: Aegilops tauschii subsp. strangulata
Lineage: Eukaryota; Viridiplantae; Streptophyta; Magnoliopsida; Poales; Poaceae
Source: RefSeq, a predicted model, not a curated record
UCUUAUCCACUAGCCGCCGGAUUUGGAGGAGCGGCCAGCGUUGCAACCCCCCGGCGACGUGCCUGCACGCGGCCCCGGCGACGCGCCAUCCCCCGACGGCGAGGAUGCGGGAGGGCUGCUGUCGUGCGAGGGCGAGCGGCGGGCACCAUGUUGCGGCCUUGUGGGAGGGCGCCGGCCGGCAGAGGCUGUUCGGGCGACUGGAGCGGCGACGGGGUGGCGCGCGAGUGCGGCGGCGAGGAUGCAGGAGGGCUGCGGCGGGCGCCUGCAUGGCCGUCGAUGGGCCGGUGCCCUCCACCCGGCCGUUUUUUUCUUAAUUGCGUUGCAGUUGUGCGCCGGAGGAGCUGCUGGUGCUUGAGGAGGUCGAGGACCCGGACCCAGCUCGAGUUCGACCUUCACGGCGGCGCACUGCACAAGCCCCUCGUGCUGGCUAAAUCCUUUGCAGCGGUUGUGUUUCUGGGCUUGUCCAAUUAGGCUGGUCCGUUGGUGGGCAGGGACCAGGUCGUUCGGAGGGAAGGCUGUUCCGAUCAAACAAAAAGGUUCGUCACGGGGGAGGCUGUUUUACCGAACAAAAGGUUCGGACUGGGAUGCCCCCAGGCCGAACAUUCGUUAGUUAUCGGGGUCCUUCAAUUAUCAUCAAGUGCAUGCAGCCAUUGAACUUUUCACCACAUGCAAACCCUCCACAUUAUCAAGCACAUGCAAGCCCUCCACAUAUAUUUUUUGUUUUUAGAAUAAAUAAAUAAACUUGAAUGUCAGCAAUGUAACAUGCAUCCACCCUCCAUUUAUCUCUUAUGUUUUCUCCCGUCAUAUGAUGAUAAUGUGAUGUGAUAUUAUUCUCAUAUAUUCUAAUUUUAUUUUUGAUAAUUUCAUUGCUAUAAAUUUACCAAGCCUUUAGCAAGUUGUGUCGACGGCUUCUCCAUCAACGGUAGCUAAAAGAUGAUGCAUUCAUUGUUGAUGAUUGGCGGGUCAGGUUUCCUCCUCUGACAUCAUCGUGUGGAUGUGCCAGAUCUGGAAUUCGAUCACGCGUCUGGGAUGUUGCCCAGACAGAUCUUACAUUCUUAAGAAGUUGAUCCCCACUACUAGCAAUUCUCUCAACAUGCACAUCGUCCACGUCAACAUGAUGCCACGUCAGCGUAUUUCUCUAACUAGGCAGCCAUGCAUCACAUAUGAGCACAACAAUCAUUUAAUUCUCCUAGCAUCCAGCCAUACAUCGCACAUCAGCGCAAAUGUAGCGUCAGCCCUUUCGGAUUCACCCGAUUGUUCCUUUUCGUUUGCAAAAAGUAACAGCCAAACCACAUCGCAUCCCUAUAUCUUCUCUAAAGAAAAAAGUUUUGACCUAUCCGCAUACAGCCAUGGAAGACAAGCCGUCCACGCCACUCGAUCAGUUGGAGCGGUGCCACCGGCUGCUCCAACUGAUGGGGCGCAGGUGACCCUUCCCUCGCGUGAUUCCAGAUGGGGCUGCCAGCUUCUCCCAUCGCAAGGCCAGAUCUGAUGGGGCCGCAUCGUCCUCCACCGCAAAGCCUACGAUUGGAGGCUGCCGCGAGUUCGUGGUGACUGGUGAGGUAGUUCGAGCUCAACAUGGCUGGUACAGGGCUGCAGCCUGCAGCUUACUGAUCAGCAGAUCGCACUAUUCAUCUGCCCUUUCCCAUUAUCCAGGAGCUCAUUCGACGCUCCCCCAGCACCCUGUCCUGCAUGGCACACUGUUCUCUGUCGGGUUCCCAUCAGAUUGCCUACCAAGAUCAAGGUCCUGCAACUAGUACUCCCUCAUCGGUUCCUCAGUUGAUGUCCGACCACCACCAAGGUCGCUGGAUUACUACAAACAACAAUGGUUCCUCAUGAUUUCUCGAAUGUUGAUAACAUUUCUGUACGUAACUAUGUAGACCAGCUGGGCCCAGUGUUGUGAUCUACCAUCGUCAACGACAUCGAUAUUUGACACCCAUCUCAAGCUGUUACCGCCCAUGUAGGCCAUGGCACAUCUGCUCCCCGCAAAUCCAAUAAGGUGUACUGGCUGAUUCUGGCUAAUUCGACCGCAGUCUCCUUCUUGAGGCGUCUGUUGAUUCUGCCCCGCUCAUCCAGGUUUAUAUUGAAGAGGAAAGAGAAUGUAGCCUACAGGUGGUUCUUAAAUCCAAUGAUUUUCAUCAUAUUUUUCUAAGACAAAUUGUCACUGUUUAUCUGCUAUAUCUGUGAAUUUUAAUUUAUGAUAUGCAAUAUCCUCUCCAUGCAAUCUGAAUGCUAUACAUACAUUACCAAUCUAUUGGUUACACAAAGUCACGUACAUGAGAAGAAUUACAAGCCAUAUUUUAUUUAGGUUCUACACUAGCAAUCUGUAGUGUACUAAUAUCUUUGAAUCAUUACCUAUAUAGGAAAUACUAUAUCGUAUUAUUUAUUCAAAGUGUUAUCUACUCUGAUAUGUGGGUAUUAGUUCAAAGAUUCAGAACAAAUUUCUGCAGCAACGCGUGGGGCGUCAUCUAGUUCUUUCAAUAGUAAUGGCUUCACCUUUGGCGAGCUAUUUUGGAGGUCAGAAAAUCUGCAAAUCAGUGAUGGAACCACGUCGAGCUCGGGUGAAAAGGUGAUAUGUCCCGUUUUCCUUUGGUGACCGCUUUAGUGGUGUUGAAGGCGGGUGACGGAAGUUGUGUGACGACCCGUGUCAUUAUUAUUAUAGAUAAUGACACUAGUUCUUGGAUUAUUUCUUGACAAAAUCUUGUUUUGUCAAAUAAUAAUCCAUGUCAGAGAUUUGCAACAGGGAAUAGCUAGAGAUGGUAAUUUAUAUUACAGUACCAUGCCACGCAGGGCUAAAAGUCUUAGGUAGGCUUCUCACAUGUUCACCAAAUUAUUACAUCUCCUAACACCGAAGCUUCAACUAGUAGUACUACAUAGAUGGUGAUAAAAUGGUUCCUGGAUUACAUAGCUAGGUCAUCAAUUAUUCAUCCCAACCCCCAUAUGUAGCAUCCAUAUCGUACAUAGCACUAGAUGGAUCCACAUCUAGGUCCCCUGUGUAGUUGUAGCCAUCACCAUUGCUCUCCUCACUUGGUCCAGUAGGAUUCUCAUACAAGCUUUGCU